GAUGAAGAACGCAGCGAAAUGCGAUAAGUAAUGUGAAUUGCAGAAUUCAGUGAAUCAUCGAAUCUUUGAACGCACAUUGCGCCCAUUAGUAUUCUAGUGGGCAUGCCUGUUCGAGCGUCAUUAAGUCCACUUAAGCCCUGCUUAGUGUUGGGAGACUGCUCCAGCGGUGCUACCCUGUAGCUACCCUGCAGCUCCUCAAAGACAGCGGCGGAGUUGUGGUAUCCUCUGAGCUUAGUAACUUGUUCUAGCUUUCGAGUACACUACUUCCCCUGCCGUAAAACCCUUAAUUUUUAAUGGUUGACCUCGGAUCAGGUAGGAAUACCCGCUGAACUUAAGCAUAUCAAUAAGCGGAGGA
Molecule: unclassified non-coding RNA, 355 nt
Filed under: soil metagenome
Description: partial contains 5.8S ribosomal RNA, internal transcribed spacer 2, and large subunit ribosomal RNA
Rfam family: 5.8S ribosomal RNA (bases 1-120)
Source: RNAcentral